This 254-nucleotide ribosomal RNA is filed under the name uncultured bacterium. RNAcentral describes it as "partial 16S ribosomal RNA". It matches the Rfam family "Bacterial small subunit ribosomal RNA", at positions 524 to 776 of the family's 1533-position model. The record is from RNAcentral.
UACGUAGGGUGCGAGCGUUGUCCGGAAUUAUUGGUCGUAAAGAGCUCGUAGGCGGUCUGUCGCGUCGAUCGUGAAAACUUGGGGCUUAACCCUGAGCUUGCGGUCGAUACGGGCAUGACUGGAGUUCGGCAGGGGAGACUGGAAUUCCUGGUGUAGCGGUGAAAUGCGCAGAUAUCAGGAGGAACACCGGUGGCGAAGGCGGGUCUCUGGGCCGAUACUGACGCUGAGGAGCGAAAGCGUGGGGAGCGAACAGG